RNAcentral lists this ribosomal RNA (253 nucleotides) under uncultured bacterium. Its description in RNAcentral is "partial 16S ribosomal RNA". It matches the Rfam family "Bacterial small subunit ribosomal RNA", at positions 524 to 776 of the family's 1533-position model. The record is from RNAcentral.
UACGAAGGGGGCUAGCGUUGCUCGGAAUCACUGGGCGUAAAGGGUGCGUAGGCGGGUCUUUAAGUCAGGGGUGAAAUCCUGGAGCUCAACUCCAGAACUGCCUUUGAUACUGAGGAUCUUGAGUACGGGAGAGGUGAGUGGAACUGCGAGUGUAGAGGUGAAAUUCGUAGGUAUUCGCAAGAACACCAGUGGCGAAGGCGGCUCACUGGCCCGUAACUGACGCUGAGGCACGAAAGCGUGGGGAGCAAACAGG